RNAcentral lists this long non-coding RNA (520 nucleotides) under Citrus sinensis (sweet orange). RNAcentral's name for it is "long non-coding RNA (CSIN_LNC004216)". The record is from RNAcentral. Lineage: Eukaryota; Viridiplantae; Streptophyta; Magnoliopsida; Sapindales; Rutaceae.
UUUUGGUAAAUUGAUUCUCAUUCUCAUUCUCAUUUAUUUUGCUAAGUAAACACAUCAAUGACAUUCCAGCACAUUCUCAUUCCCAUUUAUUUUUGCCAAGUAAACAUUAGAAUCUCAUUCACAUUCCUCAUUUUUAUUCCAGCUCAUUUUCAUUCCCAGCCCAUUCACAUUCCAUGAAGUAAACGCACUAUAAAAGAAAGGAUAAAUUCACUUGAGAAGCCGUGAUUUUUUAAAUCGCCUCAAACUAUCAAUUCAUUAAUUGAGUCCCAAUUCUCAAUUUAAGUUAUAAAUUUUAAAAUAAGAAAUUUUCUAUAAUGUUAUAUAUGUUUCUACAAUAUUGAUAGUGGCAUUGUUGUAAGCCGAUAGAUAUAGUGUUGCAUUACUUUCUAAAUUGAAAAAUCAAAAUUUAGAAUCUUAAUUACCAAUAGUGUUUACUUCACAUUUUAUGAGUGGAAAUUGCAAUCAAUUACAUGGAAUCCAUGCGAAAACGGUUUUGGGAAAUAAGGGUAUAUUUGGAGCA